UUGAGAUUUCCAUUCGGUUGCGUGUUCCUACUGGCGGUAUCCCCGGGGAGACCAACUGAGCUGCCAACCUAGGCUGUGCUUUGAGGCAUCAUAAGCACAUUCCCGACACCAGGAACUGACUUCCCAAAGACAUUUCAUG
Molecule: long non-coding RNA, 139 nt
Filed under: Sinocyclocheilus anshuiensis
Lineage: Eukaryota; Metazoa; Chordata; Actinopteri; Cypriniformes; Cyprinidae
Description: lncRNA (ENSSANG00000028979.1)
Source: RNAcentral